CGAAAUCAGUUCCUUUCGGAAGUUACAAAAUAAACUUUUGAGAUUUUAUGAUUUCGUAAAGUAAUUACUUGCAUUACCUUCACCCAUUACCAAUUCGAGUUUAUAUUGGUGAAUGGUUUUGUUACUGCCAACAAAU
This is a small nucleolar RNA of Bactrocera dorsalis (oriental fruit fly), 136 nucleotides long. RefSeq annotates it as small nucleolar RNA SNORA79. The record is from RefSeq and is a predicted model, not a curated record. The transcript has a single exon. NCBI's taxonomy places the organism in Eukaryota, Metazoa, Arthropoda, Insecta, Diptera, Tephritidae.